Molecule: small nuclear RNA, 124 nt
Organism: Camelus dromedarius (Arabian camel)
Lineage: Eukaryota; Metazoa; Chordata; Mammalia; Artiodactyla; Camelidae
Source: Ensembl
GUAUUAUCGGAAAAGAGAAGGUUAGCACUACCCUUAGCAGGAAUGCAACAGGCCUUCAGGCCUGACAACAUGCAUGCGGUUAAGGUACUGCUAUCUACUUCAUGGCAUCUAACCAUCACUUUUU